UGGCGGCUGCCGCUGUCCCACUUGGCCACACACUGUGCUGCUUUCUCAUGGCCAGUCAGAGCUCCACAGACUGCAGAUGGGGCUCAUGCCCGGCCUAUCGCAUGCCGCCGGGGGCAGGCACAGAACACACUCCUCCCCACCACCAUUCAGACCUUCACAUCUCUGCUGCAAGGGGCUAAUGGCCAAUUUGGAGAGCAAGCUCAUGGGGGAGGGGGGGGUGCUGUGCAGGGAUGGCGGCACCUGGAGCGCCCCUCCUCCUCCCCCGGGUAAGAAGCAAAGUAUGGGAACGUGCCGGGGGAGAUGCCACUGCCGCGCCCUGGGGCAUGCUCUAUCCCACCUGCCCACGCAUAGCCUCUACAACCUUUGUAAGUACCCCUGGGGGUACACAUACCCCCGGUUGACAACCUCUGCUCAAGGGACAUCUUGUGAUGAGGGUUCCAUGAACUACCUGGGGGGGCUUAGCUACCCAGGAAAAAGAAACUAACACCUUUGAAAUGGUUGCUAAAAGCCAGGGACCUGAUGUCCCUAGAGGACACUAGACAGUCACCUUGCUGGGGCCACUUGACCCCCAGUUCUCUUCCCUGCUUGGUGCAAGGGGCUGGACCCGAUGAUCUUCUGAGGUCCCUUUCAGCCUUACAAUCUAUGAAUCUAUAAAUCUAUAAUUAAGUAAAUUAUAUUUAAGCAACGUAUCGAAGGAUAGUUGGAUGAGUUGCAGUUUCUCUCUUACAUCAUAAUAAUUAAAAAUGUAAAAUACAUAAUGUGAAGAUGAGGAUUAAAUCUUUUAUGCUUAAACACCUGUCAGGUAUCCUCCAUUCACUUCCUUUUUCUUUUUUUGUUUGUUUCUAUAAACAGAUUGAUACAAGAAUUAAAAAAGUUGGGAAGAUUAGAAAUAUGGCCUUUUAGAUGAGUCACAGUGCAGCUGCUUAUCUUAUUGAUUCCCAAUAUACCUUUUGAAGCCUGAAAGGAAUGGAAAUUUUUUCAAUCCUGGGCUUUCAAUAUCUGGCAAAACCUCAGAAGCUGAACAGCAACACAAACUAGAGCACAUAGCCAUUGCAGUUUACUGAAGAGGGACUUCAGCAAUCUGGGUUUCAUUUCUGGCUCUUUCAUUGGUCAUCAAUGGUUAACCUUAAGCAAGUCAUGAGGAUAAUGAUGCCAUCUUUGUUUUUUAAAGUACUUUGUGAUUUGCUGAUAAAAAGUGCUAUGGAAAAGCAUUGUGCUAUAUAACUGGAGCUUCAAAAGAAUCACUAAAGAUUACAUGACUUUUUCUAAACUGAUGUCUGGCAGCGAUUGCUCUUUCCCUAAAGCCUGGAUACACAGAAAGUCUGCCCUAGAUUUCAAUAAUUGCUUAUUUUUUAAAAUAAGGACAAAUACGAAUGAUUUACGUGAUCCUCAAUAGCUUCAGAUGCCAUGAUCUCUUGGGAUGUUUCAGUUAUGGUGUCUAUAUCCCUGUGAUUCUUUCUAGUGACAGCUGGAUAAACGCAGACAGCUCACAAAACUUGCUCAUGUCCUUUCACACAGAAAUAUUGGACUCAGCUGUAAGGUCACCUGUCACAUCUUGAGUAUUGUAAGAGGAUGCAUAUCAAUAUUUUUUGAACCUUUGAAGAGUUGCAACCAACACAGAUUUAUUAAAACAUUGCAGCAGUAAGGACAUAAAGAGGACAGACCUAAAGGCCUCAUGAUCAGUUUCAGACCCAGAAUACAUGAAAGAUUUAAAAAUGUCAGUUUGGUCCCCGUGACUUGCUGGAAAAAGAGGAAAUCAGAGCCAAUCUUAGUUUUCUUAAACUCAAGUCUUUCAAAUGGAUCUAAAGUUUCUAGGACAGAAUGAUUUACGAGAUGACUUGAGGAAAAUGUUACUUUCACUGCUUCUGUGCUCAGUUUAGGUCUGAUGUCUAAGAUGAGUUAUAAAUCUGAUCUGGCACUGAGGCCAUGGGUAGAAAGAAAGACUGUCCUACUUCCACUUCUUAAGAAACUGCAAUACAGAGGAAGACUUUUUGUCAGAUUGCAGGGGUGACCCAACCCAACCCUAGAGGAUGGGAGAGAAUUUGCCUGCUUCAGAGACUAGGCAUUCUUUCCAUCAUGCAUGGUAGUAGAAUAGGGGUGGGUAAACUGUUUUGACAACUUGUUAUUGGUCCUGAUAUCGGCAUCUGGAUGCAUUUGAUGCUCAGUCCUCACUUCUGUCAGCAGUGAGACAAUAGCAAAUACCUGUAACAUGAUACUAAAAGACCAAAGGCAUUUUACACAGCGCCAGAAGAACAGUGAUGUGGGUUCCCAUAACUAAACUGCUGUCCUGACAAUGAGUGCCCUUCCGAAGUGCUGGUUCUGGGAUCUCAAUCCCCCACUGUUCUGGUGCCAAAUGUGCAGUAGAACCUUCUGAACAAUGGAUGGAUUUAGGUACCCCGUCAGCUCCUAUAAUGCAGGCACAAGGAAGGAACAGCACUGGUUGUCAGUGCCUUCUGUAUGACAUUUCUGAGAACUUUAAUUUUGUAUCUACUAUGAGGGCCUUCUGUGCCAGCAUGGCUUGUUACUAUUAGAAAUAGAGGGUGGGAGAUGUAUAGAAAAGGUAAUUCACAGAUAGGGGAACAGAGUCGAAAUAACUGAGGCAGGAAUGCAAAAAUUAGAAUAUAGUAUUAACUUCAAAGCAACCUUGAGAUUCUAAAUUCUGGAUGCCCAGGUUUGCAUUUCCAGUUAAAAUGGAAAAAGAAAAUAAAAAUCUUGCCUAACAUGCUGGGCGGAGGUGACACACUAAUACGGGAAAAUGAGAGCAUGGAACAGAGAAGAGCCAAUAUCUGGAGUCUUAGGCUUUUACAUUUCAUAUAAUCUUGGAGAUGAAAUUGGUAGGAGGUAGAUGGAAAUUGAGCCGGUUUGAUGAACAAGAUAAAUGCUGACAGCAAGAACCUUUGGCUACUGGUGUUGCCAGCAAUGUAGGACUGUCUCUUUAGCUUUUCCCCUGGACAUUCUUUGGCUGUGCUGACUGGCUUCCCUGCCUCCUACUCUCUUUUUCGUUGCCUUUUUUGCUUCAGCCUCACUCUACCUGCCUCUCUGCUCUUCAUCUUGUUCUACUUAACUUCACCCAGAAACAUCCUCUCUGUCUUUAUCCAUCUUUUCAGUUGAUCAUCAAUCUGCUUCCAAAAUUAAAGAUAGAAGUAAACCAAUCAAAACACAGUAAGAAAUAACAUGAAAUAUCAAGAAAAAUGGUAAGACCAAUGUGCCUGCAUAAGGAGCUUCUAGGAUGCCUCAACUGCAAAAGGAAAGCAUUUAGGAAAUGGAAAAAUGGGUAGGUCACCAAGAAAGCAUACCAGAAAAUAGCAAGAACCCAUGGGGACAAAAUCAGGAAGACAAAGGUAAACAGUGAGCUGCACCGGGUGAGAAAGGUUAAAAGCAACAAGAAGAGGUUUUGUAAGUAUGCUGGCCAGACAAGAAAGACCAAGGAAGCUGUGGGUACACUGUUAAAUAGCCAGGGUGAACUCUUAGCAGAAGAUGCAAAAAAGGCAGAGCUUCUUAACAGCUACUUCGCUCAGUCUUCAUGAAAAGAUGAAGCUGUAGCCAGAUGCCUAAAAAUAUUAUUCGGAUAAGGAACGGAGCAGCCUGUGGGAUGAGAUAACAAAAGGGAUACAGAGCUUUUGAGGAGUCUAGAUGAAUUCAAGCCAGCAAGGCCUGAAGAACUUCAUCCUAGGGUACUGAAGGAACUGGCAGAGGUCAUUUCAGAGCCUUUGGCGAUAAUAUUUAUGAAAUUGUGGGAGAUGGGUAAAGUACGAGAGGCUGAGUAAAGGGCCAGUAUAGUGCCCCUCUUUAAAAAAGGCAGAAAAGGAGGACCUGGGGAACUACAGACACUGGAGCAUAUCCUAAGCAAGCUCAUUUGCAAGCACAUGAAGGAGGAAGGGCUGAUUACUAGCAGCCAGUGUGGAUUUUUUAAGAACAAAUUGUGUCAAACAGGCUAUUGACAAAAUAAUUACUUGGGUGGAUGAAGGGAAUGCUGUGGAUAUAAUGCUGUGGACUUCAGUAAGGUUUUUUACAAAGUCCCACAUAACCUUCUCAUAAUUUGGAGAACCACGGGUUGGACAAGACUACAAUGGAGUUAAAGGGCUGGGUGAUAGGUUGGUUAUGACCUAUCACCCAUCCCUUGAACCUUGAACCUGUACGAAAAAUCCUCAAAAAAUUGCAACCCAUAUUAGAAAAAGACCCUAUUCUUAAAAAAAUCUUCCCAGAGCCACCCAUCCUAGCCUUCAGACAAGCACCAAACCCCGCCAACCUCAUCACCAGAAGCAAACUUCCUCAACCCCAGAACACACCAAAAGGAUCCAGACCGUGCCAUGACAAGAAAUGCAAAACCUGCCAACACAUCUCCACCACCCCCACUAUUACUACACCCCACAACAGAGCCAUCAGCAUCCCAGGAUCUUACAGCUGCACCUCCAGGAAUGUAGUAUACCUCAUCCAAUGCACCAAAUGCCCUGAUGGAAGAUAUGUAGGAGAGACCAAACAACAACUGCGCAGCAGAAUGAACGCACACCGGAAAUCCAUCAAAGACAGAAACACCCAAUUACCGGUGGGGGCACAUUUCUCACAGGAGGGCCACUCUCUCUCCAAUCUCUCAGUCCUGAUCCUCAAGGGAAACUUACACACACUUCCCAGAGACGAGCCUAUGAGCUCCAUUUCAUCAACCUGCUGGAUAUUAGAGAUCAGGGACUAAACAUAGACCUUGGAUUUUUGAUACAUUACAAUCUGCCUGGCAACUGACUCCCCAGCCCAGCCCAGCCCAGCCCAGCCCAGCCCCUGGCUUGUUUACUUUUCAUUCCAUCCAGGAAGAGCACGCAGCAACUGCUGCAGCGUCCUUAGCCUGACGAAGGGUUUUUGAACCCGAAAGCUUGCUUAAUAACUAUUCUCCAACCAUUUGGGUUGGUCUAAUAAAAGAUAUCAAAUUCACGCAAGGAACCUUGUCUGCCUAUAUCCUUAGACCAACAUGGCUACAACCUAAACCCCUGCUACAUCUUCCUAUGCACUCCACCUUCAGUCUGAUUCCCCUCUUUUCACUGAUACACCAAAAAUGCUGCCAAAAGACAGAUGUAAAUUGUUUCUAACCAGAAUCUUCGGAGACUAAGUCCUGGAGCACCUUAAAGGAGCCAGAUUGACGAGGUUGGCUGUGCCCCUCUUGAUUGUCAUGCAGCAUCCUGUACACAUCAGACUGAGGCACUGAGUUAAGCAUUGGAAAUGGGCCAUUACCUAACUUUACUCUUAAAACAGCUGCACCUCUCUGAGUUGGCAAUCAAGUCAUCUUCUGCUCUUGGAUCUACUUUACAAAAUAACAAUUCUCAAGUAGUGGAUGCUGAGCAAAAGCAAAUGAAGCUUGUCAAGAGUUCUGGACUUCUGAAAACCAGACCAUAUAGAUAGCGUUUGGGCUUUUGAUGCUGCUGAUUUAUUCAUUCCUGUUUAACUACCUCUCUGUCCGGAGUUCCUCUUCUCUCCCGUGGAGUACAUCGACCCACAUCAGUGAAAGCAGAAGAAUAACUUCCAGGGGACUCCUGGUCUACUGAAAAUGGAAAGCAGUUUUAGGAAUCCUGGGGCAUCAUGGGCUGAUCUAUGACGAACCCUUGACCUACCAUUACUGCGACUGUCAGGAACAUAGGGGGAGGC
Alligator mississippiensis (American alligator) is the source of this 5631-nucleotide long non-coding RNA. RefSeq lists it as uncharacterized. The record is from RefSeq and is a predicted model, not a curated record. Lineage: Eukaryota; Metazoa; Chordata; Crocodylia; Alligatoridae. The transcript is spliced from 6 exons.